UGGAGUUUCUUUUUCUUUAUGUCUAC
RNAcentral lists this non-coding RNA (26 nucleotides) under Rattus norvegicus (Norway rat). The record is from RNAcentral. Lineage: Eukaryota; Metazoa; Chordata; Mammalia; Rodentia; Muridae.